Molecule: ribosomal RNA, 504 nt
Filed under: uncultured bacterium
Lineage: Bacteria
Description: bacterial SSU rRNA
Rfam family: Bacterial small subunit ribosomal RNA
Source: RNAcentral
CGCUGGCGGCGUGCCUAAUACAUGCAAGUCGAGCGAAUGAUAGAGAAGCUUGCUUCUCUCUGAUUAGCGGCGGACGGGUGAGUAACACGUGGGUAACCUACCCUAUAGACUGGGAUAACUUCGGGAAACCGGAAGCUAAUACCGGAUAAUACUUCGAAACACAUGUUUUGAAGUUGAAAGAUGGUUUCGGCUAUCACUAUAGGAUGGACCCGCGGCGCAUUAGCUAGUUGGUGAGGUAACGGCUCACCAAGGCAACGAUGCGUAGCCGACCUGAGAGGGUGAUCGGCCACACUGGGACCGAGACACGGCCCAGACUCCUACGGGAGGCAGCAGUAGGGAAUCUUCCACAAUGGACGAAAGUCUGAUGGAGCAACGCCGCGUGAGUGAAGAAGGAUUUCGGUUCGUAAAACUCUGUUGCAAGGGAAGAACAAGUAGCGUAGUAACUGGCGCUACCUUGACGGUACCUUGUUAGAAAGCCACGGCUAACUACGUGCCAGCAGCGGC